UUACACUAUGGGGAUGGUGAGAAGAGAUAUAUUUUACAUCCCAGAGGGGCUAUAAUUGGAGAUACUAUUGUUUCUGGUACAAAAGUUCCUAUAUCAAUGGGAAAUGCCCUAUCUUUGAGUGCGGUUUGA
RNAcentral lists this ribosomal RNA (129 nucleotides) under Triticum aestivum (bread wheat). Its description in RNAcentral is "partial small subunit ribosomal RNA". Lineage: Eukaryota; Viridiplantae; Streptophyta; Magnoliopsida; Poales; Poaceae. The record is from RNAcentral.